UGGCUCUCAAUUAAUAUCUAAGAGUUAAGAGUUAACAUCAACAUUUCAUCCUUAUACAUGAAAAGCUUAAACAUCUUGUCAAGAUUUCAUAAGUAAAACUUGAUCAGUUAAGCUAACAAAAAUAUAUCAUCAUAAGCUCUUGGAGUUUUAUCCUUGUACAUGACAAGUUUAAACCUGAUAUCAAGAUUCCUUCAUAGUACAUGGUGAGUUUAAACCUAACAUUAAUAAUUUUCUCAUCAGAGGUUUAAGGAAGCUGGCUUGUCAUGUUUUAGCUUUUUUUGUCAGAUUUUCGGAAUCCAUUUGAAUGCCUUGAAAAAAAUUUGCCCGGUGACCCCCAUUUUUCAUUUUGUAAAUCUUUUACAUGCCUAAUGAUAAGCCAUCUGUAAAAGUCUUAUAAAAUUUUAAUUACUUUUUAAUAGUUUUUGAGAACUUCAACUUGUCAAUGAUAAAGCUAUGAAAAGUCAAGAAAGAAUAUUUUCCCGCCAAAAUUUCAAUGGCUAAUAUCUCGAAAACAAGCACGGUGACC
Molecule: long non-coding RNA, 526 nt
Filed under: Mytilus galloprovincialis (Mediterranean mussel)
Lineage: Eukaryota; Metazoa; Mollusca; Bivalvia; Mytilida; Mytilidae
Source: RNAcentral